AGAGCGAACGCUGGCGGCAUGCUUAACACAUGCAAGUCGCACGGGCAGGGGAAACCCUGUCAGUGGCGGACGGGUGAGUAACGCGUAGGUAUCUAUCCUUGGGUGGGGGAUAACGGUUGGAAACGACUGCUAAUACCGCAUGAUAACUGAGGUUUAAAGGCGCAAGUCGCCUGGGGAGGAGCCUGCGUACGAUUAGCUUGUUGGUGGGGUAAAGGCCUACCAAGGCGACGAUCGUUAGCUGGUCUGAGAGGAUGAUCAGCCACAUUGGGACUGAGACACGGCCCAAACUCCUACGGGAGGCAGCAGUGGGGAAUCUUGCGCAAUGCGCGAAAGCGUGACGCAGCAACGCCGCGUGGGGGAAGACGGCCUUCGGGUUGUAAACCCCUUUCAGUUGGGACGAAGCUCCGCCGGUGAAUAGCCGGCUGGAGUGACGGUACCUUCAGAAGAAGCCCCGGCUAACUACGCGCCAGCACGCCGC
This 478-nucleotide ribosomal RNA is filed under the name uncultured bacterium. Its description in RNAcentral is "SSU rRNA". It matches the Rfam family "Bacterial small subunit ribosomal RNA", at positions 26 to 518 of the family's 1533-position model. The record is from RNAcentral.